Oncorhynchus keta (chum salmon) is the source of this 2918-nucleotide long non-coding RNA. RefSeq lists it as uncharacterized. The transcript has 3 exons. The record is from RefSeq and is a predicted model, not a curated record. Lineage: Eukaryota; Metazoa; Chordata; Actinopteri; Salmoniformes; Salmonidae.
UGACCGCAGCUGCUUUCCAAUCUUUGGGAAUCUCAGACGACACGAAAGAGAGGUUGAACAGGCUAGUAAUAGGGGUGGCAACAAUUUCGGCAGAUAAUUUUAGAAAGAAAGGGUCCAGAUUGUCUAGCCCGGCUGAUUUGUAGGGGUCCAGAUUUUUCAGCUCUUUCAGAACAUCAGCUGUGAGCGUUUUACAGUGAUGAGUGGAGGUCGUUUGACCGCUGACCCAUUACGGAUGCAGGCAAUGAGGCAGUGAUCGCUGAGAUCUUGGUUGAAGACAGCAGAGGUGUAUUUAGAGGGGAAGUUGGUUAGGAUGAUAUCUAUGAGGGUGCCUGUGUUUAAAGCUUUGGGGGGGGUACCUGGUAGGUUCAUUGAUAAUUUGAGUGAGGUUGAGGGCAUCAAGUUUAGAUUGUAGGAUGGCUGGGGUGUUAAGCAUGUUCCAGUUUAGGUCGCCUAGCAGCACGAGCUCUGAAGAUAGAUGGGGGGCAAUCAGUUCACAUAUGGUGUCCAGAGCACAGCUGGGGGCAGAGGGUGGUCUAUAGCAGGCGGCAACGGUGAGAGACUUGUUUUUAGAGGUGGAUUUUUAAAAGUAGAAGUUCAAAUUGUUUGGGUACUGACCUGGAUAGUAGGACAGAACUCUGCAGGCUAUCUUUGCAGUAGAUUGCAACACCGCCCCCUUUGGCAAAAUGUUGUAAUUUGGAAUUAAAAUUUCUGAAUUUUUGGUGGUCUUCCUAAGCCAGGAUUCAGACACAGCUAGAACAUCCAGGUUGGCAGAGUGUGCUAAAGCAGUGAAUAGAACAAACUUAGGGAGGAGGCUUCUAAUGUUAACAUGCAUGAAACCAAGGCUAUUACGGUUACAGAAGUCAUCAAAAGAGAGCGCCUGGGGAAUAGGAGUGGAGCUAGGCACUGCAGGGCCUGGAUUCACCUCUACAUCGCCAGAGGAACAUAGGAGGAGAAGAAUAAGGGUACGGCUAAAAGCAAUAAGAAUUGGUCGUCUAGAACGUCUGGAACAGAGAGUAAAAGGAGGUUUCUGGGGGCGAUAAAAUAGCAUCAAGGUAUAAUGUACAGACAAAGGUAUGGUAGGAUCUGAAUACAGUGGAGGUAAACCUAGGUAUUGAGUGAUGAAGAGAGAGAUAUUGUCUCUAGAAACAUCAUUGAAACCAGGAGAUGUUAUUGCAUGUGUGGGUGGUGGAACUAAUAAAUUGGAUAAGGUAUAGUGAGCAGGACUAGAGGCUCUACAGUGAAAUAAGCCAAUAAACACUAACCAGAACAGCAAUGAACAAGACAUAUUGACAUUAAGGAGAGGCAUCCUUAGUCGAGUGAUCAAAAGAGUCCAGUGAGUGGAGUGGUUGGUUUGGGGGUCACGGCGAUUUAGACAGCUGGCCAGGACAUCGGUAGCAAGCUAGCAUAGGAUGGAGGUCUGUUGUUAGCCACCUCUUUCUUGUGUUCCGUCAGUAGAUUAGUGGGGUUCCGUGUGGUUUGAGGGGAUUAGUCCAAAUCACACAAGAAAAAAAAAAAAAUAAGAAAAAAAAACAAUAGAUAUAGUUAUAGAGGCCCAAGAAGAAACAUAAUAAUAAUAAAAAUAAAUAAAUUGUCCGAUUGUCUAUUCUGAGAGCAGCCGGUAAGACAGCUAACGGUUAGCAGGCCGCAGAUGGGCGUUUGAUGAUUUGAUGAUGUUGAAAUGGUGCUGCAAUGACGUUAGUUGUCACUAUUAGUCUAAGCAGAGGUGAUUUGAUGAUGUUGAGAUGAUGCUGCAAUGACGUUAGUUGUCACUAUUAGUCUAAGCAGAGGUGAUUUGAUGAUGUUGAGAUGAUGCUGCAAUGACGUUAGUUGUCACUAUUAGUCUAAGCAGAGGUGAUUUGAUGAUGUUGAGAUGAUGCUGCAAUGACGUUAGUUGUCACUAUUAGUCUCAGCAGAGGUGAUUUGAUGAUGUUGAGAUGAUGCUGCAAUGACGUUAGUUGUCACUAUUAGUCUAAGCAGAGGUGAUUUGAUGAUGUUGAGAUGAUGCUGCAAUGACGUUAGUUGUCACUAUUAGUCUCAGCAGAGGUGAUUUGAUGAUGUUGAGAUGAUGCUGCAAUGACGUUAGUUGUCACUAUUAGUCUAAGCAGAGGUGAUUUGAUGAUGUUGAGAUGAUGCUGCAAUGACGUUAGUUGUCACUAUUAGUCUAAGCAGAGGUGAUUUGAUGAUGUUGAGAUGAUGCUGCAAUGACGUUAGUUGUCACUAUUAGUCUCAGCAGAGGUGAUUUGAUGAUGUUGAGAUGAUGCUGCAAUGACGUUAGUUGUCACUAUUAGUCUAAGCAGAGGUGAUUUGAUGAUGUUGAGAUGAUGCUGCAAUGACGUUAGUUGUCACUAUUAGUCUAAGCAGAGGUGAUUUGAUGAUGUUGAGAUGAUGCUGCAAUGACGUUAGUUGUCACUAUUAGUCUAAGCAGAGGUGAUUUGAUGAUGUUGAGAUGAUGCUGCAAUGACGUUAGUUGUCACUAUUAGUCUCAGCAGAGGUGAUUUGAUGAUGUUGAGAUGAUGCUGCAAUGACGUUAGUUGUCACUAUUAGUCUAAGCAGAGGUGAUUUGAUGAUGUUGAGAUGAUGCUGCAAUGACGUUAGUUGUCACUAUUAGUCUAAGCAGAGGUGAUUUGAUGAUGUUGAGAUGAUGCUGCAAUGACGUUAGUUGUCACUAUUAGUCUCAGCAGAGGUGAUUUGAUGAUGUUGAGAUGAUGCUGCAAUGACGUUAGUUGUCACUAUUAGUCUAAGCAGAGGUGAUUUGAUGAUGUUGAGAUGAUGCUGCAAUGACGUUAGUUGUCACUAUUGAACUAACUGGCGUUUUGUCUUCCCGUUGUGUCGGCCUUCUAUAUCACAGCGCCGUAUAAACUAAAGGGCGUUUUGUCUUCCCGUUGUGUCGGCCUUCUAUAUCACAGCGCCGUAUAAAC